This 333-nucleotide long non-coding RNA is filed under the name Hordeum vulgare. RNAcentral's name for it is "long non-coding RNA (HVUL_LNC010700)". The record is from RNAcentral. Lineage: Eukaryota; Viridiplantae; Streptophyta; Magnoliopsida; Poales; Poaceae.
UUCAUAUCAUGUGAUGGAUAAAAAUAUAGCUCCAAUUAACUUAUAGAGGGAUUGAGAGGAAAAGAGGGGAUGCCUUUCGGGGCAUCCCCAAGCUUAGACGCUUUAGUAUUACUAGAAUAUUACCUUGGGUGCCCUGGAAAUCCCAAGCUUGGUCUUUUGCUGCUCCUCAAUCCUUUCUCCAUCGGGACAAUACCCAAAACUUGAAAACUACAGUCACAUAAAACUCACAAAAACUUCGUGAGAUCCGUUGGUAUAAGCAACAUAUCAAAUACUUUUAGGUGUUGUUACAAAUUGAUUCUUAUUUUACUUUGGCAUAGGGUACUGUAUCUAAAC